UUCAGAACGUCGUGAGACAGUUCGGUCCCUAUCCGGCGCGGGCGUAGGAUAUUUGAGAGGAGCUGCCCCUAGUACGAGAGGACCGGGGUGGACGGACCACUGGUGUAUCAGCUGUCGACCAACGGCAUAGCUGAGUAGCCAAGUCUGGACGGGAUAAACGCUGAAGGCAUCUAAGCGUGAAGCCCCCCUCAAGAUGAGAUAUCCCAUUCCUUUAAGGAAAUAAGAUCCCUUAUAGACGAUAAGGUAGAUAGGUUCAAGGUGUAAGUGCGGUAACGCAUUCAGCUGAUGAAUACUAAUAGAUCGAAGGUUUAUUCU
RNAcentral lists this ribosomal RNA (315 nucleotides) under Pseudobutyrivibrio sp. JW11. Its description in RNAcentral is "bacterial LSU rRNA". It matches the Rfam family "Bacterial large subunit ribosomal RNA", at positions 2610 to 2925 of the family's 2925-position model. The record is from RNAcentral. Lineage: Bacteria; Bacillati; Bacillota; Clostridia; Lachnospirales; Lachnospiraceae.